This 636-nucleotide ribosomal RNA is filed under the name uncultured Agaricales. Its description in RNAcentral is "eukaryotic LSU rRNA". The stretch from base 224 to 377 matches the Rfam family "5.8S ribosomal RNA". The record is from RNAcentral. Lineage: Eukaryota; Fungi; Basidiomycota; Agaricomycetes; Agaricales.
AAGUCGUAACAAGGUUUCCGUAGGUGAACCUGCGGAAGGAUCAUUAUUGAAUCCAAAGGAUGUUGCUGGCCUUUCGGGGCAUGUGCACUCCACCUUUUCAAUACACCUGUGAACAUAUUGUAGGCGCAGAUGUAAAAAGUCUGUUGCCUAUGUUUUUAAUACACCCUUAAAAAAGUCUAUUGAAUGUCUAAUUGUGGCCUUUGAUGGUCAACAAACUUAAUACAACUUUCAACAAUGGAUCUCUUGGUUCUCGCAUCGAUGAAGAACGCAGCGAAUUGCGAUAUGUAAUGUGAAUUGCAGAAUUCAGUGAAUCAUCGAAUCUUUGAACGCACCUUGCACCCUUUGGUAUUCCGAAGGGUAUGCCUGUUUGAGUGUCAUUAAAUUCUCAACUUCAAAAGGGUUUGUGCUUUUUUGAAGCUUGGACUAUGGGAGCUUGCUGGUAUCACUAUCAGCUCUUCUUAAAUGCAUUAGCGGAACUGUGAAGGACCAGCUUUGGUUUGAUAAUCCUAUCUAUGCCGUUGCUGUGGACUUGUGUGUUCAGCUUCUAAUUGUCUUCGGACUGCCUUCCAGGCAUACACUUUUAAGCUUGACCUCAAAUCAGGUAGGACUACCCGCUGAACUUAAGCAUAUCAUAGC